UCCACCACAAUGCCAUUAACGGUUUCAGCACAGAUGGAUAGCAACUGACAAGGUGAGAGCGGACAUACUCGGCAUACCCCUCACUGGUCGGCUUGACGCCAAGCUUUACCCUCUAGCGAGGGCAUUUUUGCGGAGGCCGUUUUAACAAACGACUCUUAGUGUUGGUCUCCUCACGCUAACCCCGUAGCGUGUGGCUUCAGCGGGCCUUUUAGGCCCGCUUUUUUUA
This 226-nucleotide non-coding RNA is filed under the name Linnemannia elongata AG-77. Its description in RNAcentral is "Mortierella elongata AG-77 Burkholderia sRNA Bp1_Cand871_SIPHT". It matches the Rfam family "Burkholderia sRNA Bp1_Cand871_SIPHT". Lineage: Eukaryota; Fungi; Mortierellomycota; Mortierellomycetes; Mortierellales; Mortierellaceae. The record is from Rfam by way of RNAcentral.